AAAGGGCAAAGGCCCUGAAUAGAUACUUUUCCAAAGAAGACAUACAAAUGUCCUUGGGUACAUGAAAAAGCAUUACACAUCACUAAUCAACAGGGAAAUUCAAAUCAAAACCAAAAUGAGACAUCACAUGACCAACUGUUUUAAAUACUAGCCUAGCUCAAGUAAAAUGAGGUAAAAAAUUGACUACAAGAUUUACUAACAUGGAGGGUAAUAGUUACCUAAAUAAGGAGAGUUUAGACUGGUAGAAACAAAAGACUGAUUGAAGAGGUGCAAGGAAAACUGGGAGGGAAGAGACUGAAAUUGGCAUCAGAAUAUAAGUAAAUAUAGACAACUCUAUUCAGAAGUGUUUUGUUUGUCUUUUAUAAAGGGAAGACGAGAGAUGGCACGACUGCCGGAGGGGGAAGUGAGGUCAAGAAUUUUGUUGGAGAAUUAGUUCUAGUGGCAUAACGAGAGGGGAUCAGGACUGGUGCGCAGUGUGACAUGAGUUAGCAGCGCCAUAUACAGAGCUCCAUGGGGAUUAGAUACUGGAGAUGAGAGAUGACCAAGACAUAUGAGCUUCUCAUAGUAAUUGACGUGACAGAUAAGGGACAUGUUGAAAUUAGUCCUGAUGGCCUCUUGCUGACAGCACGACAAUAGAAUGAGUGCUGAAGGGAGAGAGAGAUGGGAGGUCUUUCUGGGAGCACAUGGUGUUCUGGGGCUUCCUGGUGGCUCCUGCUGAUGAAGGCGGAGCCUGCAGAUGCGCACACUUAUUCCCAAGGCAGUGAGAUAUCUCCUCAUUACUGCAGACGAAGGUCUCAUGCUGGGUGCACAGACAGUCUGCUAAUCCCCACUGACAGCAGACUGCAGAGGAUGGCUUCCUCUUGACUUCUGUGGAAGGAGACUCAGAGCCAUCAGCAGGCAGUUAUUUCUUAAUCAACCUAGCAAACCUUGGGGUCUUCUUUGACUUCUGUCAUCUAACUCAUUCCAUACCUUCCAGCUCAUAUCAUCCAAUCCAAUCAAGCAAUAAUUUUUGAUCCCCUUACUUGCAAAGCACAAUUAAAUGUCCUGGGGACAGACAAAGUCCAUCUUUCUUGCUUACAUUCUAAUGUAAAUAGGCAAUGAAGCAGCAGAAAAUAUUAAUUUAGAUAGUGAUAGAGUCAAGCAUUUGUGGUGGUUCUUAGUGUGGUCAAGGAAGUCUUAUCUAUAGAAAAUAGCAUUCUAACAUGUUUUUUUGUCUCCAGUUGCUCCCUCUAUAAUAGUCACUGGUACUAUUCCCCAAAUUUUUUAGUUCUUUUCCUUUACGGCUUAUAGUAUGAUGGCACUCCCUUGCACCAUUAACAUGUGGUUUAGUUAUAAUAGGUUUGACCAGUGAAUUAUGAGCAGAAAUUCCUAUGACAUGUCUGUGUGAAAGUUGUAAGAGCAAGGUGUACAAUUCUUUAUGCUCCCUUCCCAUUCAUGCUGUGAUAUAAAGCAAAUAACAAAAUAGUGCUUGCACAGUCUGGAUUCCUGACGUCCAUGAUUAACAGAGCCAUUCUACAGGUUCGUGGCGUUAAGUGAGAAAAUGUUUGUCGGGUGAAAGCACUGAGGUUUCGGGGUUGUUUGUUAUGGCUACGUACCAAGUGUUUCCUAAUUUUAAAAAAGAUGGAAGAAAAAAAUGGGGUGAUGCUGUCACAAAAAACUUAAAGUAUGUGUCAUUGUCUGGGUGGUCAGUCAGCAAUGGAUAAGGCAACUGUCACGGGACACUGGGAAGAUGCUGAUCCAUAUGCAGUGGUGAAAUAUUUGGUUAAAAUGUCACCCGCAAUUACUUGGUGAAAGAGUUAGAAAACAGCAUGAGUAGAGAAAGGAGAUGGAAAACAGAAUGUUAGCAGCAAGUGUUUGUUGCUGGAGGCUGCAUCUGACAAGGUAGUAAGGAAAAGGAUUGGUCAGUUUGCACAUCAAAGGAUUACAAGGAAAUAGAGUGUAUCCAAAGAAUCGGACACUCUUAAGGAGGAAAAAGGCAACUGCUUCUCAACUCCAAGCCAACUCCAAUAAAAAUGAUAAGUCUUUGAGCUACAUAUUCUUUCUUGAAACCUCCGAAUGGCUGAAAGUUUCUUGGAGCAAAGGUCCAGCCAAGGAUGUGCUGCCCAGUGUAUCUGUUCAUCUGGAGAAAUGGCUCAAGGAGAAGAUACCACGGGGCUUCUGCUCCCACCAAAUCUGACCACUCAAGGUCUGAAAGAAACAGCAGCAGGCCUAGAAUUCAAAAGAAGUAUUUCUAGGAAAGAAAUGUGUGCAUAACUGUUGGCACAGAACUACGUAAAAUCAAAUAGAUUAAAAAACUGCUCCAUUUUUAAAAAGAGUCAUACUACCAAAGAAAUAUGAAACUGCUCUAAAAAAAAAGUCAGUGCUUUCUGGAGCUUGUAUACCACCCUCAAGCUUCUAGGGCAGAAAGCUGUUUGAGAGUUUCUCAGCUCCUAAAGAAGGUUUAUAGUCCCAUGUUCCCUUCAGGUGUCAAGUCCAGGCAGAUAAGAGAAAACCAGGAAAUUCCCAGAACGUGAGAUCAUGGGUUUCAGGAAACAACUGACUGGCGACUGCCUCCCAGGAAGCAAACUUGGUACCUAAACUAGCAGAAGGUCCCAUUUCACCUAGCAGGGGGCCUCUGCCCCACUGCUUAUCCUGUCUCAUGCCACAGUGUGCACUGGUGUAGGGGAGCCGUGGGUUUCUGCCACGAAGAACCACAUCUGGACGUGGCUGUAGGGACAACUGUGCAACCAACUGGAUGUUGAGAUUGGAUGGGAUAUUAGAGUGUGUCCUGUGGGGAGGAGUGAAUUUGUUUUGUGUUUAGGAAGAAACCUGAGCGGGUGUUGGUGACCAGAAGUGUGGAUGGUGGGAGUCCUCCGUGCAGCUUACUGGGUCAGCUGGAUCUGGAGCUUCUUCCUUUAGGCUCAUGUUGUACAUUCAUCAAGGAGGAAAGCAUGAGGACCACUGAUCUUGAAAUACAAAUAAUUAAUGAGGAGCAUAAAAAUGACAAUUAUUCUGAUAAUUUGCAGCAGGAUGAUCAUUAAGAUUUAUAUGUUCUAUUCAUAUGAUCGAUCUUAAAAUAAAUCCGCAGAAAUCAUGGACCUGGAGCAGAGCAGAACUUGCAGGAUGAAGUGAAUGGAAAACUGCUUCAGAGGACAGCGUGGUUUAGGGAUUUCCCUGGGACCAAAGGGAUCAGCCACUCCAUUCCAGUUCUUAACUGUGUCUCUAAGAGCAACACACUGUCCUGCAGAAUUCGCAGGUAGAAGCUGACUUUCACCUCCUCGUUUUUGUUAAUAACUGCACUAUCUUUUAAGGGACUUGAGAACAGAAACACUGUUCCAAAGAGAUAGCAUGAAAUAAUUUCUGAAAGGCUUAGGGACGGUUCCAACAAAGCAUCCUUUGGUUUUCUUCAUUGGCUUUGGAGCUAAGAUGAAAAAUGCCACCCUGAAGGCUGGAUCCAUCCUAUUGUUUAAAUUCAUUUCUUCCUAGUAAGUAUUUCUAUGAAAGCAGCUAGUUUAACUCGGCUUCAAGAUCAGUUUUGCAGAAAUAAGUUUAGUACGGCUGUUUGAUCACUGUAGAGCUGGCAAUAGGACCCUGUUGCACUGGCAUGGCACAAGAGAUUAAUCUUCAAAUCAUUACCAUUUUGCUUAUUUAUGGAUCACAGUUGAUUUUUUUCUAAAGUACAGAUUUUCAAACUGACUAAAAAGUCUCAUUGGAAAUCUAUUGCCACACACUCAUGCAAAUUUUGGUUUGAUUAAAGUGGAUCAAUGUGAAACUGUGUUCAAAUAUUUUCUGUUAUCUUACAACAAAGACAGUAAGAUAAAAGACUCAAAUAAACAAGAGAGAAAGAGCCUAGAAUUUGGAGAAUAUAGUUAGGGUAGGAGAAAAACACUUUCAAGGAAAGAUUCCUCAUUACGAGAAAUGAGGUAAAGAAAGCAGUAAUUUACAUCAGGAGCAAGCAUUCUAAAGGUAUCUAAGAUAAAUGAGCAUCCUGAUUAAAAUGUGAGCGUCCCAAGACAGAAUUUUGAGAGAAACAAGAGAGGAGAGAUAGAAGAAAAUGAAGAUUAGCUCCUGGAGUCUGGAAUCAAAAUACUGUUGGGGAGAUUAAAUUCUGGAAUUCUUUAGAAGAACUAAGGUGAAAAAAGGUUAGAUGCCCCUCUUUGAUCACUACUUGUUUCUGCGCUAAGUCCAGAAGCACAGUUUUUCGGGGUAGGUAUAAGAGGGGCAUAAUUUAUACUUCUGAUUUGGGCAAACAAGUAAGAACAUGUUUAUAAUGUGUACUUACAGCUGGGGUGGCUGGUGACUGUCCACGUCACAUAUUUUAUGUAAGCAUUUUAUUCUCCCUUUACAUUGUAUCUGUGCUUGUAUUUACUUAAAAAUUAUUUCAGUGAAUUAAAAUUAUAAUUUAAUAAUUAUUUUAGGUAGGAAAAACAAAAGUAACUAGAUGAUCAUUAAUCAUGUUACAUUUUGAUAUUCUCUAAUAAAAAUGGGCUAAAUUUUAGAACCAUUAUCCCAACAACUGCACACAGGAAGCUUGAGUUGUCCCACAGACGGUCGGGAGGGGGCGCCACUAUUUUACACAGGUAGUCCUGAGCAAGUUGCUUACGAUUUCUGAACUUCAAUUUCUUAUUUCAGAGAUGCGAACAGUUUCUUUCUUUUGCUCUUUAAUUAAGUGCUUAUGCAUAUGAUUGGAUAAAUUUUGAAGUGCCAUUCCUUCCUCUUAAAACUUCUGCAUCUGCUUUCUCCUCAGUUGAAUUUGCAACUCAAGCAUGAGAAAUAUCAAGUAUAGAUUAAUAAGAUGCCUCCAUAAUAAAGAGGAGAAAGAACAUAUUGCUCUUCAGGAUCAGUGUGACAACUCCAAAAUUUUCUCAAUUUAGGUAACAGAGGGAUCUUUCACAAAAUUUUAGUCCUGAUGAGUGUUAUCAUUUUAGAGACACAUGAAAUUAUUUUAGUGAUUGUGUUAAGAUCAAUCUGAAAAAAAAUGUCAAUAUCCUACAUCAGCACACACCAUCAUAUCACAAACAAUGAGAGAAAGUGGUCAGCUUCUUUGAGAUUUGUAUAUUAGAGUCAAAAGUUACAAGUUAGUGUAAAUUUUACAUUAAUUUGUAUUUGAAUAAAUCUCCAAGGACACACUUGCUUUCUACUCCUCUUCAUAUAAAACAUAUAACACAUGUAGCAAAUGAUGAAAGUCUGUGUCCCCAAAUACGAACAGUUUAUGCACACCGCAGGCCUCCAGGCCACCACACACAGCAUUUGCUUCAGAAGCACAGAAACGAUGUGGAAAAGAGUGAACAGUGGCCCUCAGAAAGGAAGCUGGGGCCCUGUCAGCUAGCCCUGUGUUUGUUUGUUUCUGACAUGCAUCUGUCUUCCAAACAGACCCGAUGGAUGAUGCACUUAAAGGGAAACAGAUGGCACAGCAGAGGUGCCUCCUCUCCUUGCAAAGCAAUGACACACCCAAAUCAUUUGCAUCAGUAAAUUUAGCAAUUCCAUGGUUCACUGCUUAUAAUGAAACACCAGGAUUUCUGAUUCUUCAUCUAACAAUAUUUGAAAUCUCACAUUUAUUCAGUGUUCAGAGAGAUAAUGUCCUAGCAAAUAAUUACAGGUCCAUUCAGGUCAAGGUCUUUUAUAGCCAUUUUCGGACACACUCCAAAACGCAUUAUGGCUGUAAAACACUAGUCACUGCGAGUUAUCGCUGUCCUUAUCCUCGCAUCCCAGUCAUCACACUUAAUGAUCUGCUUGCUCAUAUCCCUGGUGCCCUUGACUUUCUCUCAGGCUGCUUAAUUGACAAAAUUCCGUUGGUAAAUGUGAGCAAUGUGCAAUUUCUCAGAGAAUUACUUCCUAAAUAAAAACACAAAGAAACACAUCAUGCAAAGCACAUAAUAUAUUAUUAUGUGAUUAUCUUCUUUUGUAAAAUGACAGCUGGUAGCCUUCUUUUCAAUGCUUUUGUGGUCACUUUCUUUCUUUCUUACGGACACUAUUUUUUUUUUAAGGUUUUGACUGUACCUCCUUUCAAAGAUCACAUGUGCAUGUGGAUGUGGAUAGUGUUCACUCUUAAAAAAUCACCUUAUGUAACAGGAAAGACUGGGAUGCUGUUAUUUCUUCUGAAGAAGCAGAGGGCAGCGACAGCGCCCGUGGACCAAGGAGGUUAGCAGCUGGUGCAGCAGGAGCUCAGGCUGACUGACGCCCCUUCCACUCCAGGAUUCAGUGGCAGCAGAAUCAGAUCCAGUGAUUAAAUGUUUACGUGUUCUCUCAUUCGACUGCAGAGUGUGGAGAAAGUUUUCAAACUCUGUGUAUUUAGUUUUAAUAUGUUUUCAAAUGUUCAGAGCAGAAAAAAUAAUCCCCUUAAGGGAACUAGACAAAACUCUGUUGUUACUCUUAAGGGCCAGUCUUCGCCAUCUACAGUCUGCUAAAGGAGAGUGUUUAAUUAUUAUAUGCAGGCUUGUUUUUAUAGCUGCUCUAGGUGUCAACCAGGAAUAUUGAGAAGUGAAUUACUGGAAACCAAGUUGCCAAUUAAUAUUUUCCUUUAUUGCAAAAAAAAAGUUAUAUAUGUGAAAUUAGGAAUUU
This is a non-coding RNA of Equus caballus (horse), 6540 nucleotides long. The record is from RefSeq and is a predicted model, not a curated record. Lineage: Eukaryota; Metazoa; Chordata; Mammalia; Perissodactyla; Equidae.